GGGUUCUAAAGGCGCAAGGAGUUGUAUCUUUUUCUUUGACUGAAACGAAGACGUAACAAAGCGGAGAGGGAAACCUAAAAAGAAGCUGAGCUUGGCACUGAAACAAAGGAGACCUCAGGUGAACCAAUGGACUUAAUUUCUACUUUUCAAAAUAGUUCUGUCAAAACAAGAACAGCAACAACAACGACUAUCUCCCCACCCAAACCUAGGAUCUGUGGAGACUCUGUGAAUGUAGAAGUAGAUGGAAUAAAUACUCACUUGAUUCCAUGGCAACCUUACAUUAACUUCAAAUGUGAUCUUAAGAGACUAAGCACACGAACAAUAGAUGCUAUUGUGCUCAUUCAUCCUGAUCAGAGAAGCUCCUGCUGGAUCUCUGAGAGGGAACGUGAUUUGACAAGAUGGCAGCUGACUAAGAUUUUCUCUACCUAUGUGGAGAUACUACUUCUUGUGAAGGAGGAGAAAGAGAAGAGCAGAUUGAGAAUUGUAAGAUGA
RNAcentral lists this long non-coding RNA (492 nucleotides) under Fukomys damarensis (Damara mole-rat). RNAcentral describes it as "lncRNA (ENSFDAG00000023915.1)". Lineage: Eukaryota; Metazoa; Chordata; Mammalia; Rodentia; Bathyergidae. The record is from RNAcentral.